UCUGAUACUCUGGGUGAAGAUUGGAAGGGUUAUGUGGUCCAAGUGAGUGGUGGGAAUGACAAACAAGGUUUUCCCAUGAUGCAAGGGGUCUUCACAACAGCCUGCUGUCAAGUAAGGGGCAUUAUUGUUAUAAAUCAAAAAGAACUAGCAGAAGGAAGUGGAAGUCUGUUCAGGAUGCAUUCUGGAUGGCAGUCUGAGUGUUCUUAACUUGGUCAUUGUGUAAAAAAGAGAGAGGAGGCUAUUCCUGGAUUGACAGGGCUUCAGUGUUUCAGGACCAAGAGCAAGUAGAAUCUAAAAUCUUCAGUCUCUCUAAAGAAAAUGAUGUCCACCAAUAUGUUGUCAGAAAGCCCUUUAAAUAGAGGGUAAGAAGGCCAGGACCAAACCAUCCAAGAUUUUGUGUCAUGUUAAUCCACCUGUCCUACAACACAGACACUGACAUAUUGCCCUGGAGAAAUAAGGUGCUAAUUAUUAGGACAGCUAUCCCCUUGCAAGGAAGGGGAGAAGAGGAUGAGAGGGAACAGUCCCACCUCUCACCUAGAAUAUGCUAAACUUUUGGCCAAGAGAAUGAAGGAUGCCAACAAAAAAUGCCAGAAACAGAUUACCAAGAGACAUAGGUUGUUCUUGGUGAG
Molecule: long non-coding RNA, 629 nt
Filed under: Mus musculus (house mouse)
Lineage: Eukaryota; Metazoa; Chordata; Mammalia; Rodentia; Muridae
Description: long non-coding RNA chrX:11220606-11221235
Source: RNAcentral